This is a long non-coding RNA of Mandrillus leucophaeus (drill), 1099 nucleotides long. RefSeq lists it as uncharacterized. NCBI's taxonomy places the organism in Eukaryota, Metazoa, Chordata, Mammalia, Primates, Cercopithecidae. The transcript has 3 exons. The record is from RefSeq and is a predicted model, not a curated record.
AGUGGAAUUUGAGGCCUCCCCAACCACCCACCAAAAAAGGAGGGUGAAAUGAAAGGAAUAAGAAAACCUCAGCAUUCUGUUCUCUGACAAAGAGUAAAAUGACAAGGAAUAUCGGCCUGAAUUCUCUUCCCCAAGAAGAAACCACACCAACGCAGGCAUUUGUCUUCUGUCCAUGGUGCUGAAGUUUAUUCACUUUCAAACCACUUUCAGUAACAGUUAGUGUAAGAUGUGAGAAGUGUUGACAGGAAGCUGCAGCUUGGAUGGGAUGAUCACAACUCCAUGACAACGAGAUGACACGAAUGCAGGAGAGACCCCAGCGGGCAGGAACCUCUUGCCGUCUGUCCCAAGGCCCAGCCCUCCUUGUGCUCCCUGGCUGUUAUCUUCGGUACUACAAAGAGAACACAGACAUAUCUGGCUUGGUGACCUGGCUGUCUUGGAAAAGUCAGCUUCAUCAAAUUCUUUACAAAAGGAAAAUACAGGGAAAGGGAUAAACCUCAUUGACUUGGAGAAAAUCAAGAGGCGUGAGCACAGCAUCAGAAAGCCCCCUGGCCCCAGACUGCACCCGCUUUCCUGGCCCUACCUUGAAAUCCAUCAGGUCUGCGUUGGACACGGCAUUGUACAUGGGAUUAGCUCUGGUCUGACCUGGGAGCUGGAAUGCCAGAAAAAGGAGGAAGCUCACGCUGAUGGUGGAGAAGGAGCUCAUGCUGGCGUCGUCAAGGAGCAAUCCACUGCUUGCUGCUCUGUCUCUCCCCUCUGGUUCCUCUCUGGUUCCCCUCUCUUGGCCUACGUCCGUCCCUGUCUCCCAGCUGCCCAGUGCCUCCUCUUUUUAUAGCCCCCCAGCUCUCCAAGCACGCAGGAGAGACAGAACCCUCCCCAUUCUGUCACUUGCAGCGAUAAAGCAGCCAAGUGAGAAGCCAGCAGGAGAUGCCCUUUUAAAGUUAUCAUCCCGCAGGGCUUGUCACAGCCCCUCUGCCUUGGGCAGCCCCAACAGCCCCCCAGACCCUCGGCUGCAAGAGCCGCAUUCUUGCUGAUUUGACUCAAGAGGCUUCCACUUCAAAGGUGUGAGAAGAGUAAAAAAGAGUUCUUGGUUAUCUCACCA